UGCCAGCCGCCGCGGUAAUACGGAGGGUGCAAGCGUUGUUCGGAAUUAUUGGGCGUAAAGCGCGUGUAGGCGGUUCGUUAAGUCUGAUGUGAAAGCCCGGGGCUCAACCCCGGAAGUGCACUUGAAACAGCAAGACUUGAAUACGGUAGAGGAGAGAGGAAUUCCUGGUGUAGAGGUGAAAUCCGUAGAUAUUGGGAAGAACACCGGUGGCGAAGGCGGCCACCUGGUCCGGAACUGACGCUGAGGUGCGAAGGCGUGGGUAGCGAACGGGAUUAGAUA
RNAcentral lists this ribosomal RNA (279 nucleotides) under uncultured bacterium. RNAcentral's name for it is "partial 16S ribosomal RNA". It matches the Rfam family "Bacterial small subunit ribosomal RNA", at positions 506 to 784 of the family's 1533-position model. The record is from RNAcentral.